This is a long non-coding RNA of Frankliniella occidentalis (western flower thrips), 1406 nucleotides long. RefSeq lists it as uncharacterized. Lineage: Eukaryota; Metazoa; Arthropoda; Insecta; Thysanoptera; Thripidae. The transcript is spliced from 2 exons. The record is from RefSeq and is a predicted model, not a curated record.
GGCCCGGGCAGGGCAGGGCCCGUUACAAUGGGGCAGCCCGAGGCGGCCCGGGUCCCCGCCAGCAAGCCAGCCUCUCUUUUCGCCGGCGCGCUGCAUCUCACGGCAGUGUCUGUCCGUUUGUCCGUCUGUCUCUCGCGUUUUCGGAUGGGAGGCGAAGGGGGAGAAGAGGGGAGGGAGCCUCUGUUAGCUGGCGCCAGGUGCAGCGCGGGCGCCGCGGCCAGUCUCGUCUAUUCUUUUUAGCAAAUCUUUUCGCCUGCCCAGCCCGGCUGUGCCCGGCUGUGCCCGGCUGUGCCCGGCCGCUGGCGCGCGCCUAUGGCUAUGCCGCCGCCGCUGGUGGUGCUGCUGCUGCUCCCGUUCGCGGCCGCUAUGAUUGAAGGUUAGGGACGUAAGGGACGUCCGCCGCGUAACGGAACGCUAUAACUCGUAACGUUUGUACACUGCAAAGGCGAGCACGCGCGCUGCGGGCCUCAACUACUAGUCUUCUGCAUGUGCAGUGGGUGUCGAACUAGAGUGAGGUAGAAAAUAAGUAGUAGAGAUUGUUUUCCCGUCUUUUAUAGUUGUUUUUAGCCACGCCCAGAGACCCAUAAGCCAAGAGAGACUCCUGCAGUGCAUAUUUGUUGUCGCCACUAAGUUUUGUCCAUGUUUUAUUUUGGGUUCCGAUGGUGUUGCCUUGAGAGCCGUGGGCCGACGUUUCGCGCGAGACACCUCUUCUUUGCGCGUUCUUUCUCUUCUCCCUCUACGUGACGGCGACGGCGAGGGUGGCUGUCGGCUCUCUGGUGACGCUACGGAGGCGGUAAAAUCGGAUAACAUAAUACGUCCGCCGGAUGAUAUGACGACGCGCUCGCUCACUCACAUGUUGCGAUCAGAUACUCCGCUCGUUCUGCUAUUUGCACUAAAAAGCCCGACGGCAGCAACACGUACGGUAACAAGUUUCGUUGUGGUGCUCCGCGGCGGUGGCACUGCGCUGCGGGGCGCUGCUUGGCGACAUGCAACACGUUCCCAUGGCCUGCUGCAAUUACCCGGAAACAGGUGUUGGCCGAUGUCCAGGAGGAGGUGCGUCCCCGCACCCCGCCGGGCGCCGCCGCGCCGCAGCGACAGGCGCCACGCCGCAGGAAACGUGUUUGCCACGCAUGCAUCCCGUUCGCCGCUCGGAAGGCAGAGGAAAUGAUCGGCCGCUGGCCGUGUGCAGGAGGCUUUCGAUGCGUCAAGUUCGGGUGUGACGGCGAGAGUUUCAGUGGUCAGCUGGCAAGUAGUGUCCGCAUGGGUCAGCGUACCGAUCUCUGCCACCCCAAGAGAAAAAUAAAAAACAAAUGUCAGGACGUAGUUGAUCACAAUGGACCCUGGAGCUUAAAAUUAGCGUGUACUAUUUUUAGGAAGUCGGCCGAGUAAUAUAUUUUUAAUAAUGA